ACUUUUGCGCAGUGGCAGUAUCGUAGCCAAUGAGGUUUAUCCGAGGCACGAUUAUUGCUAAUUGAAAACAAAAUUCACACACUAGUAGUGGGAGAUUUCAACACCCCACUCUCACCAAUGGACAGGUUUGCCAAAC
Molecule: small nuclear RNA, 136 nt
Filed under: Neotoma lepida (desert woodrat)
Lineage: Eukaryota; Metazoa; Chordata; Mammalia; Rodentia; Cricetidae
Description: U4 spliceosomal RNA
Rfam family: U4 spliceosomal RNA
About the family: U4 small nuclear RNA (U4 snRNA) is a component of the major U2-dependent spliceosome.
Source: Rfam by way of RNAcentral